ACGAACGCUGGCGGCGUGCUUAACACAUGCAAGUCGAACGGUAAGGCCCUUCGGGGUACACGAGUGGCGAACGGGUGAGUAACACGUGGGUGAUCUGCCCUGCACUUCGGGAUAAGCCCGGGAAACUGGGUCUAAUACCGGAUAGUACUGCGCGGUGCAUGCCGUGUGGUGGAAAGAUUUAUCGGUGCAGGAUGGGCCCGCGGCCUAUCAGCUUGUUGGUGGGGUAAUGGCCUACCAAGGCGACGACGGGUAGCCGGCCUGGGAGGGCGACCGGCCACACUGGGACUGAGACACGGCCCAGACUCCUACGGGAGGCAGCAGUGGGGAAUAUUGCACAAUGGGCGCAAGCCUGAUGCAGCGACGCCGCGUGAGGGAUGACGGCCUUCGGGUUGUAAACCUCUUUCAGCAGGGACGAAGCGCAAGUGACGGUACCUGCAGAAGAAGCACCGGCCAACUACGU
RNAcentral lists this ribosomal RNA (460 nucleotides) under uncultured bacterium. RNAcentral's name for it is "bacterial SSU rRNA". It matches the Rfam family "Bacterial small subunit ribosomal RNA", at positions 29 to 506 of the family's 1533-position model. The record is from RNAcentral.